RNAcentral lists this unclassified non-coding RNA (334 nucleotides) under soil metagenome. Its description in RNAcentral is "partial contains 5.8S ribosomal RNA, internal transcribed spacer 2, and large subunit ribosomal RNA". The stretch from base 1 to 120 matches the Rfam family "5.8S ribosomal RNA", at positions 35 to 154 of the family's 154-position model. The record is from RNAcentral.
GAUGAAGAACGCAGCGAAAUGCGAUAAGUAAUGUGAAUUGCAGAAUUCAGUGAAUCAUCGAAUCUUUGAACGCACAUUGCGCCCGCCAGUAUUCUGGCGGGCAUGCCUGUUCGAGCGUCAUUUCAACCAUCAAGCCCUGCUUGCGUUGGGGUCCUGCGGCUGCCCGCAGGCCCUGAAAACCAGUGGCGGGCUCGCUAGUCACACCGAGCGCAGUAAUACAUCUCGCUUUGGGCGUGCGGCGGGUUCUUGCCGUUAAACACCCCCUUUUUACCAAGGUUGACCUCGGAUCAGGCAGGAAUACCCGCUGAACUUAAGCAUAUCAAUAAGCGGAGGA